GACGAACGCUGGCGGCGUGCUUAACACAUGCAAGUCGAACGGAAAGGCCCAGCUUGCUGGGUGCUCGAGUGGCGAACGGGUGAGUAACACGUGGGUGAUCUGCCCCUAACUUCGGGAUAAGCUUGGGAAACUGGGUCUAAUACCGGAUAGGACAAUCGUUUAGUGUCGGUUGUGGAAAGUUUUUUCGGUUAGGGAUGAGCCCGCGGCCCAUCAGCUUGUUGGUGGGGUAAUGGCCUACCAAGGCGUCGACGGGUAGCCGGCCUGAGAGGGUGGACGGCCACAUUGGGACUGAGAUACGGCCCAGACUCCUACGGGAGGCAGCAGUGGGGAAUAUUGCACAAUGGGCGCAAGCCUGAUGCAGCGACGCCGCGUGGGGGAUGACGGCCUUCGGGUUGUAAACCUCUUUCGACAGGGACGAAGCUUUGGUGACGGUACCUGUAUAAGAAGCACCGGCUAACUACGUG
RNAcentral lists this ribosomal RNA (464 nucleotides) under uncultured bacterium. Its description in RNAcentral is "partial 16S ribosomal RNA". It matches the Rfam family "Bacterial small subunit ribosomal RNA", at positions 28 to 507 of the family's 1533-position model. The record is from RNAcentral.